This is a long non-coding RNA of Bombus huntii, 2150 nucleotides long. RefSeq lists it as uncharacterized. The record is from RefSeq and is a predicted model, not a curated record. NCBI's taxonomy places the organism in Eukaryota, Metazoa, Arthropoda, Insecta, Hymenoptera, Apidae. The transcript is spliced from 2 exons.
UCUUAUCUGGUACACAGCACAGAAUGUAGUUUCAGAAGUGGGACGCCCAAUGUGCGAAAUCUCAGUUUUACGCUGAGCAUAGGUACGUAAGUGCAAUGUGACAAAGAAGGAACGUUCUCCAAUCUGCCGUUUAGUCACCAAGUAGAAAAACUAUGAACUACCAUACGAGAUACGCAACGCUUCUUCCUUAUAUUUGAAUUUUUUUUCUUAAGUACUUAGAAUCGCGACUCUUUAGCUGUUUUAAACAAAACAUCAGUUUCUUUGAAGCCGUCUGUCAGGAGUUCGAUUAACUCUCUUCGCUGGAAGCCAACAUGUAGAAAAUUGCCUAACGUCAGUGGCCCUUGUCCCCGCGUUGGAGACGAUGCAGAUUUUCAGCAAGUGAAGACAUUCAAAAGAGACAGUUUGAUCGGGCCUUGUUACGAAUUUUCAUGAAAAAGAACCGAAAACGCGGCUUGGCCCCGGGUACCGCCGGCUUUUCUAAACUCUACAGCGGCAAAGAACCAAGGUGGGGGCAGAACGAGGGACCGAGACGAGGCAUAUUAAAACGGUGUGGGGGCGAGCGAAACGCGAGACCAAAGCAGUUUUACAACACCGGCAGACGCUGCGAUAUUGCUCCGUCGUGCUUUCUGCUUUCUGGGAAAGGUCCGAAGCUCUCUCUCUCUCUCUCUCCCCACUCUCUCAUUUUCUCUUUCCCCUACCCUCCAUUCUCUCCCCGCUACACCCCGUCUCUCUUUCACCUACACGUCUGCACAACUUUGAACACGACCUACACGAACACUACCUCUUUCUACCAGUACUUCGUACACACUCUCAUAUCCAUACCUCUAUCUCUCUUUCCUUUCUUCCUCUCUUCCUCACUACCCCAUUCUCAUCAGUAGUAUUUCUCCCUCUUUCUUCCCCCCUAUUCCCCUGAUCUAUCAACACCACCUAUCCUUCUCUCUCGCAAGAUACUCACACAAAUUCCACGCUUUUAUAUCCGUGUCUCGCUCGAUCUUUCAGUUACCCCCAUCUAACCCUCACUCGCUUACACCCACGCCAGUCUUUACCAUCUGUCUCUUUCUAUAGCGAAGGCUGGUAGUAUCUAUCUCUAUCCACAUUUCGUUCUCUCUCUUCAAUCGCAUCUCCUGCUCUAUCUCCAUUUCUACCCAGCUUCGCCGGUACCGUUUUCUCAUAUUCUCUCUGCGCGCGCCACUAUGGCGCAUCACUAUAGGAAGAUAUAGUGCGGGCCCGACUACACUGCACGCAACUAUACAACGUAUAGUAGUACGGCGCAACGCGGCAACGAAAGACAAGGCCGUACCACUCGCGGCGAACGGAGGAUACGAAAACAGUUUCACACGACCGACGCCAAUGGUCUACGUACCACCAUUAUGAUAGCUCGACAGAGUAAAUAAUAUCGUGGGUAUUCAUUAAUCAAAAACAUAGCGAAGUAACGUAUACCGCUGCUUUCUACGUGUAUCAGCAUAAACGGGUGUUCACGGAAAUAUAUACUCAUUGUACCAUCGCGAAAUCGAUGUGUGCGUGAAGAGGGUUAGCAUCCUACACGAUUGAAGAACACGUCGUGCUACGGAGACACACGCUAUGUGUCGAUGUGUGCGUGCCUCUUACACAACGUAAACGCGCGGUAGUGUAGGUUGCUUUGGCAUAAUAAGAGAGAGGGAGCGGAAUAUAAUGCAACCUCCUGCGCUCAGUGGCCUCCCUGGAAGCUGUGGAAUGUACCACCCACCCUGCCCUCCCAUUCUAUACAACGGAGAGAAGAGUCGUGCGGCGUUGGUCGUUGUAAACACUUCGUCGGACUAUUAAUACUAAAAAUCUCGAAUCAGUACGAGACGUUACUCUGUGAUACUAACUAACUGGAGUUUUAUAGGUCGUUACACGGGGGUUGAAAUUAUUUUUAAUAGGCUAUUUUCGUCCCCUGAUUCACUCUCUCUAAUCUUCUAAUUAUAGGAAUUUUCUUCUUUUCUAUUCUUAGUCAGAUGCACAUUUGAAUAUUAAAGGUGUUACGGCCAAUAUCAAUGGACAAAAAUUAAUUUUACCAAUCGUGACACGCUAAUCAAUCAUGAUUACAUAUCGACACUUCGUCCAGACUCAAUUCCGUCAAUUACUCGAGCGAGCUAUUCGCCAACGGCAUCGAGAACUUCACAAUAACU